GAUGAACGCUGGCGGCGUGCCUAAUACAUGCAAGUCGAGCGAACAGACGAGGAGCUUGCUCCUCUGACGUUAGCGGCGGACGGGUGAGUAACACGUGGAUAACCUACCUAUAAGACUGGGAUAACUUCGGGAAACCGGAGCUAAUACCGGAUAAUAUAUUGAACCGCAUGGUUCAAUAGUGAAAGACGGUUUUGCUGUCACUUAUAGAUUGAUCCGCGCCGCAUUAGCUAGUUGGUAAGGUAACGGCUUACCAAGGCAACGAUGCGUAGCCGACCUGAGAGGGUGAAUGGACAGACUGGCAGUGAGACACGGCCCACACUCCUACGGUGAGACGCAGUAGGGAAUCUUCCGCGAUGGGCCAAUGCCUAACGGAGCAACGCCGCGUGAGUGAUGAAGGUCUUCGGAUCGUAAAACUCUGUUAUUAGGGAAGAACAAAUGUGUAAGUAACUAUGCACGUCUUGACGGUACCUGAUCAGAAAGCCACGGCUAACUACGUG
Molecule: ribosomal RNA, 497 nt
Filed under: uncultured bacterium
Lineage: Bacteria
Description: partial 16S ribosomal RNA
Rfam family: Bacterial small subunit ribosomal RNA
Source: RNAcentral